Molecule: ribosomal RNA, 368 nt
Filed under: uncultured organism
Description: bacterial SSU rRNA
Rfam family: Bacterial small subunit ribosomal RNA
Source: RNAcentral
CGUAGGUGGCAAGCGUUGUCCGGAUUUAUUGGGUUUAAAGGAUGCGUAGGCGGCUUUGUAAGUCAGUGGUGAAAUAUGGCAGCUCAACUGUCAGGGUGCCAUUGAUACUGCGGAGCUUGAGUACAGAUGAGGUAGGCGGAAUUGACGGUGUAGCGGUGAAAUGCUUAGAUAUCGUCAAGAACAACGAUAGCGAAGGCAGCUUACUGGGCUGUAACUGACGCUGAGGCACGAAAGUGUGGGGAUCAAACAGGAUUAGAUACCCUGGUAGUCCACACUGUAAACGUUGAUGACUCGCUGUUGGCGAUACACAGCCAGCGGCAGAGAGAAAUCGUUAAGUCAUCCACCUGGGGAGUACGCCGGCAACGGUG